This is a long non-coding RNA of Hylaeus anthracinus, 3345 nucleotides long. RefSeq lists it as uncharacterized. Lineage: Eukaryota; Metazoa; Arthropoda; Insecta; Hymenoptera; Colletidae. The transcript is spliced from 3 exons. The record is from RefSeq and is a predicted model, not a curated record.
ACCACCACAGACGUCACAAACGUCCUCGUUGCUUUCGCUCUCAGCGUCGACGUUGCCGUUGCCGGUACCGGUGCGCAGUCGGUGGUCGUGGUCGGUGUUAGGUGGUUAGAGGGAAACAGAUUUGACAGUUGGGCAGCGACGCCUGCGGACGAUAAACGCGGUUCCGUCCACGUGCUCCGGCACAGACGCCGGCGGGGGGGGGAGACGAAAAUAACCGGUAUUUUUAACGGACGCGAUCGUCGGGAUCUCGAUAUCGCUGAGAUUUCGCUCGUGACCGGAUAACAACCGAACCAGUCCCGAAGCCACGCAAACAACGGUGACGUACGAACGCGUAAACGACGAGCAGAGGACGUUAGGCUCUCCGUGCUCGAUCCACACGUCGCGCGGCAGCCCGAGUCUUGGCCGUGUUUUUCCGUGUUUUCUCGCCGCGGGCCGUUGUACCGCGCGCGCGACCCCUGUUUCGUGCCCAAACACUCAGCCCGACCGACCGUUGGAACGCAAACAGAAUAAGAAAAUAACAGAAGCCUCGAAGAAUCAGUCUCUCGUGUCUAUCGUCGUAGGUGAUCGAAACCCGAGGAUGGUUACGUUUCGCGAUGGAACACGCACUCGACCGUGAACGGUGAUUCGUACGGAAGAGUGGAUCGUGUGCCUGCGAGUAUCGGUGCUUACAAGUACAAGUGCCGUCGAUAGUAAAUAGUAUCGAGCAUUUUUCUCGUGUUCGCGAUACCUACGGUUCGUGAUAGCUGUAUCGAAAAGGAAAUUCUCGCGAAGAACGCUGCGUUUUGGGGUUAGGUUGUUUUAGAUUAGAGCCGGGGCCAAGUGGAGUCGCGCGCGCGUGCCCGUGCCCGCGCACGUGCCCCUAAUCGAUCCGCCGAAUCGAUCCACGAUCGUAGCAGUGGGGUUUCGCGGAAGAAGAGCCUUGGCGUCGUUUCGGGACGCGUAAAUAACGAAGGGGGGCGGCUGUGGACCGUGCGUCGUGCGACAAGGUGACCCUACGGCAGGAGUCCCGAGACGAUGAGCGACGGCAUAGUCGGUGCAAUCGCGAUCAGUUUGUUCGGCAGUGACAAGAAACGUCGGGAGAGCAUGGACGCCGGUUACACGAUUCUUGGCAACGACGUCGACGUCUGCAGAAUGUUCGACCAGUUCUCUUACAAGCUACCGAGUUCGAGCUAUACGGAAAAGCUAUUUGGAAAUGUUUCGUUUUCGCGAAGCACGGAACCGUUGACGCUCCUCGAACGGAUCGUGUCGCAUCGGCUAGAAUCGGAUCGGAUCGGAUCGGAUCGGAUCGGAUCGAGUACGCGCAUUCCCAUAGCAACGAUCUCAAUCAGAUAGGAACUAGCAGAACGGAGAACAGAGAACAAGCUAGGUAAUGUAUUCGAUACAGGUAAUAUAUAGCGCUCCAGAUACAAUAUUUAUGUCUCGACGUAUUUCGCUAGCAGCCCAUUAUUCAUUCCGUAGCGGUGAAUAAGCAUUUCAGAGUAUCGUAUCGCGUUCAGUGGCGUGCGUCUGCUCUUUCUUACGGCUACGAAUUUCUAUAUUCGACUAGCGAUUCCCCAUUCAUCAUUCCUUUUCAACUAUUUAUUAUUAUUAUUAUUAUUAUUAUUAUUAUUACUAACAUACACUAUCGCAUAAAGUUAUAUCUAAAACUAACCUAACAAAUGAUGCAAAGAAUCGUGCGAGCAGUAUAAAUGCGUACGCAAAAAAAAUUACGGCGCAUACACAAUGUAUCAUGAAUUCAUCAGGCACGCGCGUGUUGACGAUUGGCCGACGAGAAAGAGACAGCGCGCGACAGAGGGAAAGAGCGAGAAAGGAGGGUGGGUGGGAUCUAGAAAAGCAGGGAGGAAAGCUAAGAACGGUCCGAUCCGCAGGGCAGACAAGAUUUCACACUUGUUGCUCCCUUCUUGGUGUUACAUGAAAAGCUCGUUUAUCCGAAGAAUUUCCUACGGUCAAAAGGUCACAUGGUCACGAUGCACGAUAUUCUUCCUCGUUCGUCGCUCUCCUUUUUCUACCCGCGCUAACCCGUUCCUCUCAUCUCGGUUCUCACUUUUCACCUUGAGACAGACUCGAGCUAAACAAAGUCCGAUAUUACGAUUAUCGAAUAAACGGUACGACGUUAAUUUAUCCUCUUCAAUCACCAUCGCGAUGCUUCGUAGAAUAAAAAUAUGUAUGAUAUCAAAGUGGGACGGUAUAUUUGUAUGUCGAAAUCUAUUUGCAGAUUAAAAUUGUUUUGGAUGAAAUUGUAUGUAUACCGUUCGUCUGUAUACAUAUGUAUAUUUCCAUAAUCACAUCGAUUUUUCCAAACACGUAUUAAGCGAACCGGAAAUGGCUGGAAAACAGUGUAUAUCGUUUAAUAAAAUGAUGGCAGGUUACGAAUGUAGGUUAUGUUUACCGAUUAAUCCGACAAGAGUGAGCGAUGCUUAGAAAAAGUAAUCGCAGAGUAAUCGUAACGUAAUCACUGCCGAUUCCUGCUUCCUACUAUUUGCCGAUUGCGGUAAGGUAAGUGGAAAUUGAGCUUUACUUGUUCGCGGAACAUGAAACAGAGGGAGUUGUUCGAUAGAAUAGCUGGAACGAAUUAGAAGCGGGGAACGCGAGAGGAACGGAUCGCGGGAACGGAGAAACGCUCGCUUACCGUGACUGGUAAUAAGAGAUCUGCGAAAGAUAAGCGAACCCUCGCGUAAUAAGUAAAACCGGUUUAAGAGACCGUCGACGAUAAUACGAAUCGACGUACACGCUGGAUAAAGACGAAAUGCUUUUGCGAGUUGCGCAUUCGCCUCGACUCCGGGACCCCGAGUCCGGGCACCGGGGGGAGGGGGGGGGGGCACUGGAAACGCAAACGUGUGCAAACAUAACGAAAAAACGCGAAAUUUGUUCGACUGAGAAAAAGAGAAAAUCGCUGGCCGCGAUAAGCCUCCGGCGAUUAUCAGCUGUGUAAACGCUCGCCCAAAGAAAUUUGUAAGAUCAACAUUUACUCGAGAUGCUGAAAAACACCGUUAGCGGAUUCUCGAAUUGGACAGAAGGGCAAUACCGUGUCUAGGGAUUUCGGCGCCUUGGGGCAAUAGUGGAACGUGGGCGGUUUUGGCUCGAUUCACUGGUUAAAACUGCGCACGGAAAACAACGAUAACUAGUUACUAGUAAUUUUUCGUAUUCCUGUUGCAUUCGAUAUAUACCGAUGAGUACUUUUUCUUAGAAAUUGUCUUAUGCGUUUAGUCGGAAACUUUGAGAAAUUCGAAUGUCAUUUGAAUAAUCCGAGUCGUACUUGUAACGAAAUGGUGGAAUUGUGGGAUCAUUGGUAAGAAUUGAUGCGGACAAGAACGUCUCGACUUUGGUCGACUCGAUGGCCAAGUC